AUUGAACGCUGGCGGCAUGCUUUACACAUGCAAGUCGAACGGUAACAGCACUUCGGUGGCUGACGAGUGGCGAACGGGUGAGUAAUACAUCGGAACGUGCCUAGUAGUGGGGGAUAACUACUCGAAAGAGUAGCUAAUACCGCAUGAGAUCUAAGGAUGAAAGCAGGGGACCUUCGGGCCUUGCGCUACUAGAGCGGCUGAUGGCAGAUUAGGUAGUUGGUGGGAUAAGAGCUUACCAAGCCGACGAUCUGUAGCUGGUCUGAGAGGACGACCAGCCACACUGGGACUGAGACACGGCCCAGACUCCUACGGGAGGCAGCAGUGGGGAAUUUUGGACAAUGGGCGCAAGCCUGAUCCAGCAAUGCCGCGUGCAGGAUGAAGGCCUUCGGGUUGUAAACUGCUUUUGUACGGAACGAAAAGCCCUCUUCUAAUACAGGAGGGUCAUGACGGUACCGUAAGAAUAAGCACCGGCUAACUACGUG
RNAcentral lists this ribosomal RNA (482 nucleotides) under uncultured bacterium. RNAcentral describes it as "partial 16S ribosomal RNA". It matches the Rfam family "Bacterial small subunit ribosomal RNA", at positions 30 to 507 of the family's 1533-position model. The record is from RNAcentral.